AAACCGAUUGGUACUUAAACCCUUUAGCUAGCUUAGUACAAGUAAAAACCAGAAAGCAUAGUAUAGUAGUAUUAAACGGUUAAAACCAUUAUAAGCACUUAAACGGUUAAAUCUAUCAAGUUAAGUUUUAAUACUAACCGGUACAUGCUUGUUCUAAUGUCAAGCGACUUGGGUCAAAUCUACUGGGAACAAAAAGAAAUCGCGCAUCCUGUCUGCUAAAACUUGGGAUAGGUCAAGCUCUAAUACGCAAUAUUAGUGGAGGAAAACCAGCCAUACACUAUAAGUAAACCUAAUCA
This 296-nucleotide long non-coding RNA is filed under the name Brassica rapa (field mustard). Its description in RNAcentral is "long non-coding RNA (BRAP_LNC006970)". The record is from RNAcentral. Lineage: Eukaryota; Viridiplantae; Streptophyta; Magnoliopsida; Brassicales; Brassicaceae.